Non-coding RNA from Pteropus alecto (black flying fox), 86 nucleotides. Lineage: Eukaryota; Metazoa; Chordata; Mammalia; Chiroptera; Pteropodidae. The record is from Rfam.
CUCUGUGUGGUGUCCCACUUAGAAAGGUUCAGAUCACUUAGACUAUGUGUAAUUUGGGCCUUUCUGAGUAGAGCAACACUCAGCAA